CUGAAGUUUUGGCCGCAAGGCCACUCUUCCACCCUUUGUUUAUAACAUCUUUGUUGCUUUGGCGGGCCGCCCUAGGCCACCGGCGUCAGCUGGUGCGCGCCCGCCAGAGGCCCAAACAACCUGUUUUAUAGUGUUUGUCUGAGUAAAACUUAUUGUUA
RNAcentral lists this unclassified non-coding RNA (158 nucleotides) under uncultured Ascomycota. Its description in RNAcentral is "sequence contains ITS1". The record is from RNAcentral. Lineage: Eukaryota; Fungi; Ascomycota.